RNAcentral lists this ribosomal RNA (651 nucleotides) under uncultured Lachnospiraceae bacterium. Its description in RNAcentral is "bacterial SSU rRNA". It matches the Rfam family "Bacterial small subunit ribosomal RNA", at positions 64 to 736 of the family's 1533-position model. The record is from RNAcentral. Lineage: Bacteria; Bacillati; Bacillota; Clostridia; Lachnospirales; Lachnospiraceae.
AAACUUCGGUCGAUUUAAUUUAAUUCUAGUGGCGGACGGGUGAGUAACGCGUGGGUAACCUGCCUUAUACAGGGGGAUAACAGUCAGAAAUGGCUGCUAAUACCGCAUAAGCGCACAGAGCUGCAUGGCUCAGUGUGAAAAACUCCGGUGGUAUAAGAUGGACCCGCGUUGGAUUAGCUUGUUGGUGGGGUAACGGCCCACCAAGGCGACGAUCCAUAGCCGGCCUGAGAGGGUGAACGGCCACAUUGGGACUGAGACACGGCCCAGACUCCUACGGGAGGCAGCAGUGGGGAAUAUUGCACAAUGGGGGAAACCCUGAUGCAGCGACGCCGCGUGAAGGAAGAAGUAUCUCGGUAUGUAAACUUCUAUCAGCAGGGAAGAUAGUGACGGUACCUGACUAAGAAGCCCCGGCUAACUACGUGCCAGCAGCCGCGGUAAUACGUAGGGGGCAGGCGUUAUCCGGAUUUACUGGGUGUAAAGGGAGCGUAGACGGUGUGGCAAGUCUGAUGUGAAAGGCAUGGGCUCAACCUGUGGACUGCAUUGGAAACUGUCAUACUUGAGUGCCGGAGGGGUAAGCGGAAUUCCUAGUGUAGCGGUGAAAUGCGUAGAUAUUAGGAGGAACACCAGUGGCGAAGGCGGCUUACUGGACGG